Long non-coding RNA from Brienomyrus brachyistius, 1099 nucleotides. RefSeq lists it as uncharacterized. The transcript is spliced from 3 exons. Lineage: Eukaryota; Metazoa; Chordata; Actinopteri; Osteoglossiformes; Mormyridae. The record is from RefSeq and is a predicted model, not a curated record.
UCUGAAGGAUGUAGGCUUUGUACUGCCCGGCCUAACAACACUGCCGUAAUUAUACUCUACCCUCCCCCAGGAUCUGUUUCCCCUUUCCGUAGCCAUUGGUGAGCUUUGCACCUCCUGCUGACAAGGUUGCCGUAAUGGGAGCAGAUGGACUGGGAGGCAGCAUCUUAUGGUGACCCAGGGGGAAAGGAAGGGCAGCAACAUGUGUUUCAGCAGAGAACAAAGGCAAAACUGUAUCACAGGUCCAGGUGGGAGGCAUCAAUGAAACGUUUCCUCACUGCAGAUGGAAAAAAAGGACUUCUGCAAGUUCAACAACAGUGACCUUCAUGGCACCUCUACAGUGUGAGAGAGAUGUGAAACAGACAAUUCCAUUUUAUUUCCGCCAGGUGUGAUAUUUAUGGAAUGAGGAGUCCACAUUCAUCUACAUUUUAAGCAUUGUCUCUCUGAUGAAAUAUUGGGACUAUGGAAGCAUUUGCACAAAUCAUUUGUCAACAGGGCCAAUGUAAAAUAAAUCUAAAUUAAAGCGUAUGCACUAUGUGGAUGGAAACAAUAUCUAAAAAUAUAACCAUACUGUACAUUUGGGCAAAGAGAAAGUCUUUAAGUGGUACAAAUGUACCAGAUGUGCAAACAUGCAUAAUUAAGGCUUUAGCUAAAGAUGGGAAUGACUCACCUGCUGAUUAAUCAUAUGCUGCCUGAACCGUGUAGCCAGAUUUGUAAAUGUGUUCACUUGCUGGUGGGUCAGAAUGCAACUCUGGAAACAUGCGAGGAAGAAAGGCUAAAUUAAAGCGCUGAUGUUGAAGUGGCCUGUUGUGUUACCUUCACAUAGGAAAUACUUGACUGACAGAAGGUGCUCUCUGUGCCUAACUAGUAACAUGACUAUUUCCAGAUGGUCUGCAGGCCUGAUGUAUCUAGUGCCAGAGAACCACAGGCAAAAAACUUACAGCUUGUUAAAAUUAAUUUGCACAAUGAGAUAAUUAAUUUGUUUAGAAUGUGCCAAUAUGGAUGUAGAGGCUGUGAUUGUAUGAUUCAAAGGAACCAUAUAUGGAACACAGCUUUUCAUUUAUGUGCCAUUAAACUCACAAAUAAAUACUGUUCUGCUGAU